CCAAUAGCGUAUAUUAAAGUUGUUGCAGUUAAAAAGCUCGUAGUUGAAUUUCGGGAUCAAUAUAUCGGUCGUGCCAUUGGUACGUACUGGUAUCAUUGGUUUCUCCUUUCUGACGAACCAUGAUGUCAUUAAUUUGGUGUUAUGGGAAGUUAGGACUGUUACUUUGAAAAAAUUAGAGUGUUUAAAGCAGGCUUUAGCUUGAAUACAUUAGCAUGGAAUAAUGAAAUAGGACGUUCGAACCUAUUUUGUUGGUUUCUAGGAUCAACGUAAUGAUUAAUAGGGAUAGUUGGGGGCAUUAGUAUUCAAUUGUCAGAGGUGAAAUUCUUGGAUUUAUUGAAGACUAACUACUGCGAAAGCAUUUGCCAAGGAUGUUUUCAUUAAUCAAGAACGAAAGUUAGGGGAUCGAAGACGAUCAGAUACCGUCGUAGUCUUAACCAUAAACUAUGUCGACUAGGGAUCGGAUGAUGUUAAUUUUUUAAUGACUCAUUCGGCGCCUUACG
RNAcentral lists this non-coding RNA (500 nucleotides) under uncultured Glomus. RNAcentral's name for it is "SSU rRNA". It matches the Rfam family "Eukaryotic small subunit ribosomal RNA", at positions 591 to 1092 of the family's 1831-position model. RNAcentral also lists the same sequence under 1 other name. The record is from RNAcentral. Lineage: Eukaryota; Fungi; Glomeromycota; Glomeromycetes; Glomerales; Glomeraceae.